RNAcentral lists this ribosomal RNA (497 nucleotides) under uncultured bacterium. RNAcentral's name for it is "partial 16S ribosomal RNA". It matches the Rfam family "Bacterial small subunit ribosomal RNA", at positions 28 to 507 of the family's 1533-position model. The record is from RNAcentral.
GAUGAACGCUGGCGGCGUGCCUAAUACAUGCCAGUCGAGCGAACAGACGAGGAGCUUUCUCCUCUGACGUUAGCGACGGACGUGUGAGUCACACGUGGAUAACCUACCUAUAAGACUGGGAUAACUUCGGGAAACCGGAGCUAAUACCGGAUAAUAUAUUGAACCGCAUGGUUCAAUAGUGAAAGACGGUUUUGCUGCCACUUAUAGCUGGAUCCGCGCCUCAUUAGCUAGUUGGUAAGGUAACGGCUUACCAAGGCAACGAUGCGUAACCGCCCUGAUAGGGUCACCGGCCACCCUGGCACUCAGCAACCGCCCCGACUCCGACGGGAGGCAGCAGUAGGGAAUCUGCCCCAAGGGGCGAAAGCCUGACGGAGGCACGCCGCGUGAGUGACGAAGGUCUACGAAACGUUAAACACUUGUAGCUGGGAAGAACAAAUGUGAGAGUAACUAUGCAGUUCUGGACGGUACCUACUCAGUAAGGCACGGCUAACUACGUG